Molecule: ribosomal RNA, 253 nt
Filed under: uncultured bacterium
Lineage: Bacteria
Description: partial 16S ribosomal RNA
Rfam family: Bacterial small subunit ribosomal RNA
Source: RNAcentral
UACAUAGACUGCAAGCGUUAUUCGGAUUCACUGGGCGUAAAGGGUGCGUAGGCGGUCGGGUAAGUCUGAUGUGAAAUCUCACAGCUUAACUGUGAAACUGCAUUGGAUACUAUCCGGCUCGAGGAAUGGAGGGGAGACUGGAAUACUUGGUGUAGCAGUGAAAUGCGUAGAUAUCAAGUGGAACACCAGUGGCGAAGGCGAGUCUCUGGACAUUUCCUGACGCUGAGGCACGAAAGCCAGGGGAGCAAACGGG